GAUGAAUGCUAGCGGCAGGCCUAACACAUGCAAGUCGAGGGGUAGCAGGAUUAAGCUUGCUUAAUUGCUGACGACCGGCGCACGGGUGCGUAACGCGUAUGCAACCUACCUUAUACUGGGGUAUAGCCCGGAGAAAUUCGGAUUAAUCCCCCAUAGUACUAAUGAAUCGCAUGGUUUAUUAGUUAAAGCAUUGCGGUAUAAGAUGGGCAUGCGUCCUAUUAGCUAGAUGGUGAGGUAACGGCUCACCAUGGCUACGAUAGGUAGGGGGCCUGGGAGGGUGGUCCCCCACACUGGUACUGAGACACGGACCAGACUCCUACGGGAGGCAGCAGUGAGGAAUAUUGGUCAAUGGGCGCAAGCCUGAACCAGCCAUGCCGCGUGCAGGAAGAAUGCCCUAUGGGUUGUAAACUGCUUUUAUUUGGGAAUAAACCUCUUUACGUGUAGAGAGCUGAAGGUACCAAAUGAAUAAGCACCGGCUAACUCCGUGCCAGCCGCCGGGUAA
RNAcentral lists this ribosomal RNA (502 nucleotides) under uncultured bacterium. RNAcentral's name for it is "partial 16S ribosomal RNA". It matches the Rfam family "Bacterial small subunit ribosomal RNA", at positions 28 to 523 of the family's 1533-position model. The record is from RNAcentral.